AUCCUGGCUCAGGACGAACGCUGGCGGCGUGCUUAACACAUGCAAGUCGAACGAAGCGGCAGUGAAGGAGGCUUCGGCCAAUGGAUCUGUCGACUUAGUGGCGGACGGGUGAGUAACGCGUGAGCAACCUGCCUUUCAGAGGGGGAUAACGUUUGGAAACGAACGCUAAUACCGCAUAACAUAGCGGAGCCGCAUGACUCUGCUAUCAAAGGAGCAAUCCGCUGGAAGAUGGGCUCGCGUCCGAUUAGAUAGUUGGUGGGGUAACGGCCUACCAAGUCGACGAUCGGUAGCCGGACUGAGAGGUUGAACGGCCACAUUGGGACUGAGACACGGCCCAGACUCCUACGGGAGGCAGCAGUGGGGAAUAUUGCACAAUGGGCGAAAGCCUGAUGCAGCAACGCCGCGUGAGGGAAGACGGUUUUCGGAUUGUAAACCUCUGUCCUUGGUGAAGAUAGUGACGGUAGCCGAGGAGGAAGCCACGGCUAACUACGUGCC
Molecule: ribosomal RNA, 495 nt
Filed under: uncultured organism
Description: SSU rRNA
Rfam family: Bacterial small subunit ribosomal RNA
Source: RNAcentral